This 2925-nucleotide ribosomal RNA is filed under the name Escherichia coli. RNAcentral's name for it is "partial 23S ribosomal RNA". It matches the Rfam family "Bacterial large subunit ribosomal RNA". The record is from RNAcentral. Lineage: Bacteria; Pseudomonadati; Pseudomonadota; Gammaproteobacteria; Enterobacterales; Enterobacteriaceae.
GGGUUGUGAGGUUAAGCGACUAAGCGUACACGGUGGAUGCCCUGGCAGUCAGAGGCGAUGAAGGACGUGCUAAUCUGCGAUAAGCGUCGGUAAGGUGAUAUGAACCGUUAUAACCGGCGAUUUCCGAAUGGGGAAACCCAGUGUGAUUCGUCACACUAUCAUUAACUGAAUCCAUAGGUUAAUGAGGCGAACCGGGGGAACUGAAACAUCUAAGUACCCCGAGGAAAAGAAAUCAACCGAGAUUCCCCCAGUAGCGGCGAGCGAACGGGGAGCAGCCCAGAGCCUGAAUCAGUGUGUGUGUUAGUGGAAGCGUCUGGAAAGGCGCGCGAUACAGGGUGACAGCCCCGUACACAAAAAUGCACAUGCUGUGAGCUCGAUGAGUAGGGCGGGACACGUGGUAUCCUGUCUGAAUAUGGGGGGACCAUCCUCCAAGGCUAAAUACUCCUGACUGACCGAUAGUGAACCAGUACCGUGAGGGAAAGGCGAAAAGAACCCCGGCGAGGGGAGUGAAAAAGAACCUGAAACCGUGUACGUACAAGCAGUGGGAGCACGCUUAGGCGUGUGACUGCGUACCUUUUGUAUAAUGGGUCAGCGACUUAUAUUCUGUAGCAAGGUUAACCGAAUAGGGGAGCCGAAGGGAAACCGAGUCUUAACUGGGCGUUAAGUUGCAGGGUAUAGACCCGAAACCCGGUGAUCUAGCCAUGGGCAGGUUGAAGGUUGGGUAACACUAACUGGAGGACCGAACCGACUAAUGUUGAAAAAUUAGCGGAUGACUUGUGGCUGGGGGUGAAAGGCCAAUCAAACCGGGAGAUAGCUGGUUCUCCCCGAAAGCUAUUUAGGUAGCGCCUCGUGAAUUCAUCUCCGGGGGUAGAGCACUGUUUCGGCAAGGGGGUCAUCCCGACUUACCAACCCGAUGCAAACUGCGAAUACCGGAGAAUGUUAUCACGGGAGACACACGGCGGGUGCUAACGUCCGUCGUGAAGAGGGAAACAACCCAGACCGCCAGCUAAGGUCCCAAAGUCAUGGUUAAGUGGGAAACGAUGUGGGAAGGCCCAGACAGCCAGGAUGUUGGCUUAGAAGCAGCCAUCAUUUAAAGAAAGCGUAAUAGCUCACUGGUCGAGUCGGCCUGCGCGGAAGAUGUAACGGGGCUAAACCAUGCACCGAAGCUGCGGCAGCGACGCUUAUGCGUUGUUGGGUAGGGGAGCGUUCUGUAAGCCUGCGAAGGUGUGCUGUGAGGCAUGCUGGAGGUAUCAGAAGUGCGAAUGCUGACAUAAGUAACGAUAAAGCGGGUGAAAAGCCCGCUCGCCGGAAGACCAAGGGUUCCUGUCCAACGUUAAUCGGGGCAGGGUGAGUCGACCCCUAAGGCGAGGCCGAAAGGCGUAGUCGAUGGGAAACAGGUUAAUAUUCCUGUACUUGGUGUUACUGCGAAGGGGGGACGGAGAAGGCUAUGUUGGCCGGGCGACGGUUGUCCCGGUUUAAGCGUGUAGGCUGGUUUUCCAGGCAAAUCCGGAAAAUCAAGGCUGAGGCGUGAUGACGAGGCACUACGGUGCUGAAGCAACAAAUGCCCUGCUUCCAGGAAAAGCCUCUAAGCAUCAGGUAACAUCAAAUCGUACCCCAAACCGACACAGGUGGUCAGGUAGAGAAUACCAAGGCGCUUGAGAGAACUCGGGUGAAGGAACUAGGCAAAAUGGUGCCGUAACUUCGGGAGAAGGCACGCUGAUAUGUAGGUGAAGUCCCUCGCGGAUGGAGCUGAAAUCAGUCGAAGAUACCAGCUGGCUGCAACUGUUUAUUAAAAACACAGCACUGUGCAAACACGAAAGUGGACGUAUACGGUGUGACGCCUGCCCGGUGCCGGAAGGUUAAUUGAUGGGGUUAGCGCAAGCGAAGCUCUUGAUCGAAGCCCCGGUAAACGGCGGCCGUAACUAUAACGGUCCUAAGGUAGCGAAAUUCCUUGUCGGGUAAGUUCCGACCUGCACGAAUGGCGUAAUGAUGGCCAGGCUGUCUCCACCCGAGACUCAGUGAAAUUGAACUCGCUGUGAAGAUGCAGUGUACCCGCGGCAAGACGGAAAGACCCCGUGAACCUUUACUAUAGCUUGACACUGAACAUUGAGCCUUGAUGUGUAGGAUAGGUGGGAGGCUUUGAAGUGUGGACGCCAGUCUGCAUGGAGCCGACCUUGAAAUACCACCCUUUAAUGUUUGAUGUUCUAACGUUGACCCGUAAUCCGGGUUGCGGACAGUGUCUGGUGGGUAGUUUGACUGGGGCGGUCUCCUCCUAAAGAGUAACGGAGGAGCACGAAGGUUGGCUAAUCCUGGUCGGACAUCAGGAGGUUAGUGCAAUGGCAUAAGCCAGCUUGACUGCGAGCGUGACGGCGCGAGCAGGUGCGAAAGCAGGUCAUAGUGAUCCGGUGGUUCUGAAUGGAAGGGCCAUCGCUCAACGGAUAAAAGGUACUCCGGGGAUAACAGGCUGAUACCGCCCAAGAGUUCAUAUCGACGGCGGUGUUUGGCACCUCGAUGUCGGCUCAUCACAUCCUGGGGCUGAAGUAGGUCCCAAGGGUAUGGCUGUUCGCCAUUUAAAGUGGUACGCGAGCUGGGUUUAGAACGUCGUGAGACAGUUCGGUCCCUAUCUGCCGUGGGCGCUGGAGAACUGAGGGGGGCUGCUCCUAGUACGAGAGGACCGGAGUGGACGCAUCACUGGUGUUCGGGUUGUCAUGCCAAUGGCACUGCCCGGUAGCUAAAUGCGGAAGAGAUAAGUGCUGAAAGCAUCUAAGCACGAAACUUGCCCCGAGAUGAGUUCUCCCUGACCCUUUAAGGGUCCUGAAGGAACGUUGAAGACGACGACGUUGAUAGGCCGGGUGUGUAAGCGCAGCGAUGCGUUGAGCUAACCGGUACUAAUGAACCGUGAGGCUUAACCUUACAACGCCGAAG